Molecule: small nuclear RNA, 315 nt
Filed under: Rattus norvegicus (Norway rat)
Lineage: Eukaryota; Metazoa; Chordata; Mammalia; Rodentia; Muridae
Description: 7SK RNA
Rfam family: 7SK RNA (bases 1-280)
About the family: 7SK was discovered as an abundant small nuclear RNA in the mid-70s but a possible function has only recently been suggested.
Source: Rfam by way of RNAcentral
GGGUGUGAGAAUUAUGUCUGUGACAUUUGUUACUUCACGGAUCACCAGGGUUGAGUCUAUUGGAUUGACUGGGAGUCAGGCAUCACCUUCCUCUCUCAAAUCUUUCCAUAUAUCUUUUCCCAUGCUGUUUGACUGGUCCAUCAGAGAGGCCAGCCUUUCCCAGGAGAGGAGGGCCAGUGAAGAAUAUAAAGGUAGCUGUGCUUCUUUGCUCGAGCCUCCAAACAGACUCUGAAGACAUCUCAGGGAACAUACACGUUUAUCUCUACCAUGUAAGUUUCUUGCUACUGACGUUCCCACUGAGGACCACAUUCAACA